GACGAACGCUGGCGGCGUGCCUAAUACAUGCAAGUAGAACGCUGAAGAGAGGAGCUUGCUCUUCUUGGAUGAGUUGCGAACGGGUGAGUAACGCGUAGGUAACCUGCCUUGUAGCGGGGGAUAACUAUUGGAAACGAUAGCUAAUACCGCAUAACAAUGGAUGACACAUGUCAUUUAUUUGAAAGGGGCAAUUGCUCCACUACAAGAUGGACCUGCGUUGUAUUAGCUAGUAGGUGAGGUAAUGGCUCACCUAGGCGACGAUACAUAGCCGACCUGAGAGGGUGAUCGGCCACACUGGGACUGAGACACGGCCCAGACUCCUGCGGGAGGCAGCAGUAGGGAAUCUUCGGCAAUGGGGGCAACCCUGACCGAGCAACGCCGCGUGAGUGAAGAAGGUUUUCGGAUCGUAAAGCUCGGUUGUAAGUCAAGAACGGGUGUGAGAGUGGAAAGUUCACACUGUGACGGUAGCUUACCAGAAAGAGACGGCUAACUACGUG
This 497-nucleotide ribosomal RNA is filed under the name uncultured bacterium. RNAcentral describes it as "partial 16S ribosomal RNA". It matches the Rfam family "Bacterial small subunit ribosomal RNA", at positions 28 to 507 of the family's 1533-position model. The record is from RNAcentral.